AAGUCGUGACAAGGUUUCCGUAGGUGAACCUGCGGAAGGAUCAUUACCGAGUUCAUGCCCUUACGGGUAGAUCUCCCACCCUUUGUAUACUAUACCUUUGUUGCUUUGGCGGGCCGCCUAGCUACUGGCUUCGGCUGGUAUGUGCCCGCCAGAGGACCCAAAACCCUGAAUUAUUAGUGUCGUCUGAGUAAAAUAUUUAAUACUUAAAACUUUCAACAACGGAUCUCUUGGCUCUGGCAUCGAUGAAGAACGCAGCGAAAUGCGAUAAGUAAUGUGAAUUGCAGAAUUCAGUGAAUCAUCGAAUCUUUGAACGCACAUUGCGCCCCUUGGUAUUCCGAGGGGCAUGCCUAUUCGAGCGUCAUUAUCACCCCUCAAGCCUAGCUUGGUGUUGAGGCCUGCUGUCAAGGCAGCCUCUAAAAUCAGUGGCAGUGCUGUCAGGCUCUAAGCGUAGUAAAUCUAAUCGCUAUAGACACCUGGUGGACACUCGCCAGAACCCCCCCAUUUUUUAAUGAUUGACCUCGGAUUAGGUAGGGAUACCCGCUGAACUUAA
Molecule: ribosomal RNA, 550 nt
Filed under: uncultured fungus
Lineage: Eukaryota; Fungi
Description: eukaryotic LSU rRNA
Rfam family: 5.8S ribosomal RNA (bases 208-361)
Source: RNAcentral